AGCUUUGACAUCUGAUGUGAUCUUGUUAAGCAUCUGUUAGAGAGUCUGUUCGACAGAGGAUAAGGAACAAACACAAUGAUACUCCAUUCUGUCAUUCUGCUUUCUGCAUUUGCAUAUGCAACGUAUGGAAAUGAAAUUAAACCAGCCAAAACAGAGGAGUUUGCUGUCGAGGGUUCAAGUGUUACAUUAUCCUGCAGUUAUUCCUCUGCAUUUACUCUUCACUGGUACCGUCAGUAUCCCGGAUCAGCUCCUGAAUUCAUUUUGCUCAUCUCAAACAGUGCAAAAGACCCUCAGAAGUCUUAUGUAGAUUCCAGAUUCACUACUGAGAUCAGAAAAGAAAAACAAAGUCAUGUGUAUCUGGAGAUCUCCUCUGCUGCUCUGAAAGACUCUGCUGUGUAUUACUGUGCUCUGGAGCCCACAGUCACAGGAAACACUAGAACACUGUACAAAAACCUGACACAACUGAAGGUGUACAACUAA
Pimephales promelas (fathead minnow) is the source of this 480-nucleotide non-coding RNA. The record is from the annotation of a RefSeq genome assembly. NCBI's taxonomy places the organism in Eukaryota, Metazoa, Chordata, Actinopteri, Cypriniformes, Leuciscidae.